This 386-nucleotide ribosomal RNA is filed under the name uncultured bacterium. RNAcentral describes it as "bacterial SSU rRNA". It matches the Rfam family "Bacterial small subunit ribosomal RNA", at positions 30 to 418 of the family's 1533-position model. The record is from RNAcentral.
AUUGAACGCUGGCGGCAUGCCUUACACAUGCAAGUCGAACGGCAGCGGACCUUCGGGUGCCGGCGAGUGGCGAACGGGUGAGUAAUAUAUCGGAACGUACCUUUCAGUGGGGGAUAACGUAGCGAAAGUUACGCUAAUACCGCAUAUUCUGUGAGCAGGAAAGCAGGGGAUCGCAAGACCUUGCGCUGAUUGAGCGGCCGAUAUCAGAUUAGCUAGUUGGUGAGGUAAAGGCUCACCAAGGCGACGAUCUGUAGCGGGUCUGAGAGGAUGAUCCGCCACACUGGAACUGAGACACGGUCCAGACUCCUACGGGAGGCAGCAGUGGGGAAUUUUGGACAAUAGGCGCAAGCCUGAUCCAGCCAUGCCGCGUGAGUGAAGAAGGCCUC